Long non-coding RNA from Cavia porcellus (domestic guinea pig), 1171 nucleotides. RefSeq lists it as uncharacterized. The transcript has 5 exons. The record is from RefSeq and is a predicted model, not a curated record. Lineage: Eukaryota; Metazoa; Chordata; Mammalia; Rodentia; Caviidae.
AGAGCGCUGCGGCCGCGGACGCCGCGGAGCAGGGGGGACGCUUUCAAAAAAUAAUUAAAAAUCAAGGAAAUAUCCCAGCAGAACCCUUUUGGCGUGAAAACCCCAAGAAGGAUCUCGACUCCUUGCAACGGAGGUUUCAGGGGCCGGGAAGGUCUGUAUCUUGGCCCCUGGGGCUUCGGAUCCCGGGGGAAGCCCGGAGGUUGAAGCCGCUCUGGAGUGUCCGGCCGCGGCCCACACGGGAGCAAGGGCGCGCGGGGUCGGCCAGGGGCGAGGCGGGAGCGAGGGUCCCCGGGAGCUCGUGGGGGCUCCCAUUUCCCAAUUGGGGUGCCCUGACUUUCCCCGUGCACACACCUCCUCCCCCCCUUCCUACCCCACCCAGAUCUGCGCACCGAGGAAGCUCGAAGGCCAAACUAUUCCAGAUGGGGUAAUGCACCAUGGUGGGAACAAAAGUGAUGUGGAGCCAUUCACUUUCUGACAAGUCAUGUAUCACGAUGUUGGACACAGGACAGACACUUGGGAGCGACCCACAGAAUCACUCUGCUGAGCUCUGGGCUUCCUGCUUCCCAACUGGGACCCAGGCAUCCUGGAGAAUCCACUCACCCUGGCUCAGCCUCUAGGGCCACCCGUGGGCAGUGGCAUACAAGAGUUUGGGUCAAUUUUCAAGAUGGAGAGCAAGUAUCUGGAAAUAGAAGCCAUCACCCCAGCUCAUAGCCACGUCCACCACAGCCACCACACGCCUCGGACAAGCACACAAGCUCAAGCUUCUGGUCUCUGCUCCAGCUGCCAGCAUCCCUGCCAGGAAUUAUCCUUUUCAAAGAGGGCUCUUUUCUUUAGUAAGUUUGGUGGAGAAGAUGCUGAUGAUUUGUGUUACACAAAUCAUUUCUUCCUGAAGAUGUGCCAUCUGCCUCAGGCAAAAUGCAGUGACAAGGUCAACCUGAUCCCAGCUCUGAACCAGUAAAAACUUAGAAACCUGUCCUGGAAGGAUACAUUCAGAAACGGAAGAUGAGAAAAUGUUCAUGACAUAAUAUUAAAUGAAAUAACCAAGGUAUACGUACUUUUUUAUUUGACAUUGUGUCUUGAUGCUUUUUCUGAGUCUGGACAAAUAGGUGCCUUAUGCUUUUCCUGUUCUUUCUUUUUCUUUAUUCAGAAUAAAAUCUCUCUGUAUUACCCA